Molecule: long non-coding RNA, 526 nt
Organism: Pseudophryne corroboree (corroboree frog)
Lineage: Eukaryota; Metazoa; Chordata; Amphibia; Anura; Myobatrachidae
Exons: 3
Source: RefSeq, a predicted model, not a curated record
GCUACUCUUUUGAAUGUUGAGGUUUUUGGGUAUCUGAAAGAAAAUGGUGUGCUUCAUCCAUUAGCAAAUUUGCAAGAGGAAGCAAAUGUCUUCAAACACGAAGGACAGCUCUGUGGGUGACAUUAAAAGCGAGCAUCAGGAUCCAGUGCUGCAAACUAUUGUGUUUCCGAAGCUGCCGGACUAGAUGUUUGUUGGCUUCAGUGCACAGGGCAGCUACUCUUUUGAAUGUUGAGGUUUUUGGGUACCUGAAAGAAAAUGGUGUGCUUCAUCCAUUAGCAAAUUUGCAAGAGGAAGCAAAUGUCUUCAAACACGAAGGACAGCUCUGUGGGUGACAUUAAAAGCGAGCAUCAGGAUCCAGUGCUGCAAACUAUUGUGUUUCCGAAGCUGCCGGACUAGAUGUUUGUUGGCUUCAGUGCACAGGGCAGCUACUCUUUUGAAUGUUGAGGUUUUUGGGUACCUGAAAGAAAAUGGUGUGCUUCAUCCAUUAGCAAAUUUGCAAGAGGAAGCAAAUGUCUUCAAACACAAA